Prunus persica (peach) is the source of this 121-nucleotide small nuclear RNA. It matches the Rfam family "U5 spliceosomal RNA". From Rfam's summary of the family: U5 RNA is a component of both types of known spliceosome. The precise function of this molecule is unknown, though it is known that the 5' loop is required for splice site selection and p220 binding, and that both the 3' stem-loop and the Sm site are important for Sm protein binding and cap methylation. The record is from Rfam. Lineage: Eukaryota; Viridiplantae; Streptophyta; Magnoliopsida; Rosales; Rosaceae.
GAGCCGUGCGCUGAGCACAAAGCGAACUAUUCUUUCGCCUUUUACUAAAGAAUACCGUGUGCUCGCCGCUAAUAUUGGCAUACGACUAUUUUUUUCAAGGGUGCAUCAUUCUUGUGGUGCG